Molecule: ribosomal RNA, 254 nt
Filed under: uncultured bacterium
Lineage: Bacteria
Description: partial 16S ribosomal RNA
Rfam family: Bacterial small subunit ribosomal RNA
Source: RNAcentral
UACGGGGGGGGCAAGCGUUGUUCGGAAUUACUGGGCGUAAAGGGCUCGUAGGCGGCCAACUAAGUCCGACGUGAAAUCCCCAGGCUUAACCUGGGAACUGCGUCGGAUACUGGAUGGCUUGAAUUCGGGAGAGGGAUGCGGAAUUCCAGGUGUAGCGGUGAAAUGCGUAGAUAUCUGGAGGAACACCGGUGGCGAAGGCGGCAUCCUGGACCAACACUGACGCUGAGUGAGCGAAAGCCAGGGGAGCAAACGGG